AUCUUGUUAGUGCUGGGAUCAAACCCAGGGCCUCCCACGAGCCAGGCAAAUGCUCUACCACUGAGCUCCACCCACGGGUCCUGGGUGUGUCUGGGUCUGGGUAGCCCGUUUUGAAAAGCAAAUCUACCUGAAAGGAAUACAGAACUCAAAGUAAGUAAAUGAGUUCUAGAGCUGACCAGAUGUUUCUGUCUACAUCUGGGAAUGCCUAUUUCUAUGGAAGACAUUCUUUUUUAGGGGACUGCUUGGAAAUGACUUGAGGAAAAUAACAAGGAAUAAGCUACUUUUUGUAGAUGAGGACAAACUUUCCAAGACAAUUUCGACAAAUAAAAAAGCAGGGUGUGGGCCAAGUGCCUCACAGAUUCAUCUUUAGGAAACAACAGCCAGGGCUAGAACAUAUUCAUUUUGGCUGUAAGCAGGUUAGACAGCCCUGGAAGGAGAGAGGAGCUGGCAGAAUCUGAGACUGAGUGGGAAGAUCUUCUCAUCACAUUUCUUUUUCAACUCUUGAAUGCUGACCUUAGGUGCCUGUGUACCAGGUGGAGCACUUGCCUAGCAUAUGGGGGGCCCUGGGUUCAAUCCCAAGUAUUACUAAAACAAACAAGCAAAAAGGAUAGUUGGGGUCCUACUCACAUGCUAGGGAUCCAGCUGUGGAGUGCUCUACCUCUGAGCUACAUCCCUAAUCCUUUUUUAAAUUUUAUUUUGAGGCAGGGUCUCACUAAGUUGCCCAGGCUGGUUGGUCUCAAGUUUGGGGUCCUCCUUCCUCAGCCUCCCGAGUCUCUGGGAUUUCCUCAGUCUCCUGAGUCAGUGGGAUUAAGGGCUGCUUGGUGCAGUUGGGUUUUGUUUGUUUGGGGUACUAGGGAUUGAAUCCAGGGCUUCAGACAUGCUAAGCACACACUGUACCACUGAGCUAUAGCCACAGCUGGAGUAGUUGGGUUUUAAAAGUUCAUUGGUCCUGAUGUUGAAACCACAGCUGCCCCUUCCUCUAGCUCAAACCCCAGUGUCAUUCUGUGAUGCUGACCACCAUGGGUCAGGCAGCAAUGGUCACCACCUGAGGACCGAGGUAUCAGGAGAACCAGAACAAGAAGCAUCUAACUAAAGUCACCAACCCCAGGUGCUGUGUGAGCCAACCCCAGCAGAGGGCAGCCUGUGGCCACCCUUGAGGCCAUCCUUGUGGCCGAAGCUCUGAGGUUGGGUGUUGAACCAGAUAGUUAAUGGGUCCCAAUUGAGAAUUUUUUUCAAAUGUGAAGACCACUCCGUGAAAAUAAUCUGCAGAAACAUUCCAGCAUCUCCUUUGUCUUAGAGCAGCUGAGAAAAUGGUAGUGGAAAUGGAACCAAAUGGAGGUUAUAUGAAGAUUCAAAUUCAAGGGCUAAAGGGCACAGCCAAUAGAAGGUCACUGGCUGAGCCAAUAGCCUUGGUACUUUUUCAAUACCCAUUUAGUGUGGAUUAUAACCUACAGCCUUAACACUUUUCCAAUGUUUAACAUGGAUUUUGAUCAGUGCCUCUACCCAGAAGCCAUCUAAGCUCGGAGACUAGUACAUUCAAGUGGAAAACCUGGUAUCAGAUUGUGAGAGUUCUCUUUUCUUCUCACUUUAAUAAGUAAAUCCUACUCCUUUCACUUUUGCCACCCAUGGAUUACAUUCUUCGAAUUUGUGAGACAAGAACCCAGACAGAAACUGGAGGGAAGUUGCUGGGGUCUGCAG
This 1698-nucleotide long non-coding RNA is filed under the name Marmota monax (woodchuck). Lineage: Eukaryota; Metazoa; Chordata; Mammalia; Rodentia; Sciuridae. The record is from RNAcentral.